RNAcentral lists this transfer RNA (77 nucleotides) under Candidatus Riflebacteria bacterium HGW-Riflebacteria-2. RNAcentral describes it as "tRNA-Met". It matches the Rfam family "tRNA". Rfam says of the family: Transfer RNA (tRNA) molecules are approximately 80 nucleotides in length. Their secondary structure includes four short double-helical elements and three loops (D, anti-codon, and T loops). Lineage: Bacteria; Candidatus Rifleibacteriota. The record is from RNAcentral.
GGCAAGGUAGCUCAGCUGGUUAGAGCACACGGUUCAUACCCGUGCGGUCGUCGGUUCGAUUCCGACCCUUGCUACCG